GGUGAAGACCUAGUGGCGAACGGGUGAGUAACACGUGAGAAACCUGCCCCGAAGACCGGGAUAACUCACCGAAAGGUGAGCUAAUACCGGAUACCUUCACGACAGCGCAUGCUGAUGUGAAGAAAUGGAUUCCGCUUCGGGAGGGUCUCGCGGCCUAUCAGCUUGUUGGUGAGGUAACGGCUCACCAAGGCGACGACGGGUAGCUGUUCUGAGAGGAAGAUCAGCCACACUGGGACUGAGACACGGCCCAGACUCCUACGGGAGGCAGCAGUGGGGAAUCUUGCGCAAUGGGCGAAAGCCUGACGCAGCAACGCCGCGUGCGGGAAGACGGCCUUCGGGUUGUAAACCGCUUUCAGCAGGGACGAAAUUGACGGUACCUGCAGAAGAAGCCCCGGCCAACUACGUGCCAGCCGCCGCGGUAA
Molecule: ribosomal RNA, 422 nt
Filed under: uncultured bacterium
Lineage: Bacteria
Description: bacterial SSU rRNA
Rfam family: Bacterial small subunit ribosomal RNA
Source: RNAcentral